CAAGAUGGCGGGUGAAUGGGGUCCAGCUCCUGGGGCACCCCCCUCCCCUUCAGCCGGAACCACCCCAGGAGUCCCGAGGACCCCCCCCCGCCCAUCCCUGAGUCCACCAGCCGCAGCCCCCUCGUAACUCCUUGUGUGUCUCUUGGUUUUCAGAGAUGCCCCUGUACUUUGUGGACUUGCAGGAUGACUUAGACGAUUAUGAAUUUGAGGACUAUGGCUCUGACUGCAAUGGCAUGAGGGUGACAGCUUUCUUGGACAUCCAGGCCAGGACAACCUGUCUCCCCUAGCUCAUCUGCAAAAGUAUGCUUUUUCAGCAGUCACAUCUUCAACUGAGCCCACAGUGCGGACUGAGCUGAUGGAGCAGAUUCCUCCUCUUGCCAUUUUUCUACAAGAAAACAGAUCAGAUUUUCCAGUGGUGCUCUCUGAAUGCCUCAUACCCGUCAUGGUGAAGUACCUCACAGAUACAGACAAUCAGAUAAUCUGCAAGCUGUCGUCAGUGCUGAGAAAGUGCACAGUUGAACGCCUGCUGUUCCCUCGAUUCUGUGAGCUGUGUGGCUACGGGAAGCUCUUUCAAGUUUGGAAGGUGGGAGCAUGUGGUUUCAAAACUCAGAAAGUUAAAACAUUCAAAAUCAAUUCCUUGAAAGUGCCUGGACUCCCUCAGUAGAUGCAGUCUGGAUGAAAAGCGCGGGCAGAGUGAACUGUGUAGGACAACAGUGAAUACCGCUGCCAGUUCUCCCGGCCACUCGGGCCCUGUGCUGAGACCUGUCGGCUUGUGCUUAGUCGCCGGGCCAGCAUGCAGGGCCUCUCACCGUCUGGGUUGAGGGGCUCUAGGACCCUCUUAGGUUAGUCGUCCCUUCUGACUGCACUCCCUGCUCUGCCCCCCCCUUUUAUGGCUGGUCGCUUGUUGUCAGAGUCUUCCUUCUGAAAGCAUUGCCUCCCUAGCCCUCUCCCCAUCCCCAGCAGCCUCCCCUUCCACCUUGCUGUGCAACUGCUCAUCUUCUCUAUGGCCUCUCCUCAUGACACGAUGCAGAGCCGAGGAGACAGGGCUCAUUACCUUGCAGAGAAUGUUAAGGGUCUCUUUUGCUCUGUUGCUAACCAGAUGCAUUAUGUAUUGAGACAAUUAGGAGCCAGAACGUCCUAGCGUGUGGUGCCCUGUUCUAAAUCUUCUGUUUCCGAUGCAGCAAAGGCGCCUGGGUGGUGCCGAGUGAGCGCCGGACUUGGUGAGUGCUACGAAUUUUGGUGGUAUUUGUCACGCUGCCAGACAAGAAGGCCCUGAACAGUUUUUGGUACGUGACAUUUUGCCAAUUGUCAUUGCCGAUGCACAUCUUAGGGCACUUUUGAAAUUAGUGGUAAAGUUUUGUCUUUAUGAGCCUGUUACUUUGGAACGGCAGCUCAAUUUUGCAUUCAUCAGUUUCAGGUUUCUUGACUCCAGGAGCUGAGGUUUCUCUUAAUCUCCGGGUGGCUGGUUGCGGGGUUGAGCAGGAGCAGCCCCCGCCUCUUUCCUGGGGGCUCCCGCUGUUGCUUCCUCACUGGUCACUUCCCCCAGUCUCUUCUUGCUGUCUAAGCCGCCCUCUCUGCUCCUUGCUGACUGCUCUUUCUGUAACACUGUCCACCACCUCGUUGCUGGGCUUCAGUACCUGUGGGACUUUCCUUGGUUUAUAGAUUAAAAUCCAGAUUCCCAUUUCCUACCCCCCAGCCCAGGUCCCUUCACAGGUGCCUUUCCUGUCUCACCUCCAUCACCUCCCUCAGGUCUGAUUGCUGCUCUAACCAUUGGUCAUGCAUGUAAAUCACGGGGAAGGCGAAAGAGGGGGUAUUUUUGAUAAAGUCCCCAGUGAUUCUUGGCACAGCAGGGUGGAGAACCAUGUCACUCUUUGGCUGGGGGGCUUUUCAGGGCCUCAAGGCUUUCUGCUCUCGCAUACCGCCUCUCUCCCCCACCUCCCCUGCUCAUUACUACCCACCUCCUUCCAGAGGCUUCGCUGUCUGGGGGGACCCUGCUUACAGUUCACACCCAGCUUGCAGGUGCAUUUGCUUUUUCCUUGUCUGGACUCACCCGCCGCUAUGUCAGAAUUAGUUUCUCCCUUCUCGGCAUUCUGUAGCAUUCUGUUCAGGUUAUGUCCCUCACACUCGUGUGUCCCUCACACUCCUCUUUACAGUGUCACUGAUGGGGGCCCUUCACCUAGUUGUGUUGGUCUGUUUCUUCACUGCCCACCGAGCACCAGGUCCCCAGAGAACUGUGCUCAGUAAGCACUUGCCACUUUUAUGUGACAGGGUGUAAUACCUGUAUGGUUUGAAUUUAACCUCAAAAAGUAUCAUCUUUAAGUUGGUUUUUAAAUUUAAGUUUAGAAGCUCAUUUUGUUCUAUUUAAACUAUAGCCAUUCAACAUAAUUCUGAAAUAAUUUUUAGUGGGCUGUUGCCAUGAGCACACAACGUUAUCUCCUAUAGUAGACAGGAGAAGAGCAGUGACCAACAUACUAAUUCUUCUGUAGGUGGAUAUUUCCACGAUCAUAUGUUUCUAUUUGUGAAGCAUUUUGGCUGAUUAUUUUACCUAAGGAUAUUAAAGACAGAGCCUUAUUUUUAAAGGGUAAAUUUAAAAAGAAGUCAUAAUCAUGACCUCCCUACAGACAUAAAAUGAAAACGGGUCAGAGCUUUUACUGAAUGCAUCGAUUAGUGAAGGAACCAGUAAGAUCCAACAACUAGCUUAACUGAAGUGCCAAAAGUUCACAGUCACACUGAGGAGGACCGACGUGAGCUUGUAAAUUGACUCACCACCAUCCAUAUCCAGGGUGGUGAUGUGAUGUGGAACCCAUUGCAUUCCAUCGCUCCCAGCUUGCCUUCUAUGGCUCCCAGCUUGCCUUCUAUGAAUAGGAACAGUUUGCAUUACUAUCAGGUUUUAAGAGUCUGCCCUCUAUGACUAAAAGGGAGACUGUGGCUCAGACAUAAAAAAAAAAAUCUGCCUGCAAUGCAGGUAAA
This is a non-coding RNA of Odocoileus virginianus texanus, 2970 nucleotides long. NCBI's taxonomy places the organism in Eukaryota, Metazoa, Chordata, Mammalia, Artiodactyla, Cervidae. The record is from RefSeq and is a predicted model, not a curated record.